UGGGGAAUAUUGCACAAUGGGGGAAACCCUGAUGCAGCAACGCCGCGUGAGUGAUGAAGGUCUUCGGAUUGUAAAGCUCUGUCUUCGGGGACGAUAAUGACGGUACCCGAGGAGGAAGCCACGGCUAACUACGUGCCAGCAGCCGCGGUAAUACGUAGGUGGCAAGCAUUAUCCGGAUUUACUGGGCGUAAAGGGUGCGUAGGCGGAUUUUUAAGUGAGAUGUGAAAUACCCGGGCUCAACCUGGGGGCUGCAUUUCAAACUGGAAAUCUAGAGUGCAGGAGAGGAAAGUGGAAUUCCUAGUGUAGCGGUGAAAUGCGUAGAGAUUAGGAAGAACACCAGUGGCGAAGGCGACUUUCUGGACUGUAACUGACGCUGAGGCACGAAAGCGUGGGGAGCAAACA
RNAcentral lists this ribosomal RNA (402 nucleotides) under uncultured bacterium. Its description in RNAcentral is "bacterial SSU rRNA". It matches the Rfam family "Bacterial small subunit ribosomal RNA", at positions 355 to 774 of the family's 1533-position model. RNAcentral also lists the same sequence under 1 other name. The record is from RNAcentral.